This is a long non-coding RNA of Sander lucioperca (pikeperch), 561 nucleotides long. RefSeq lists it as uncharacterized. Lineage: Eukaryota; Metazoa; Chordata; Actinopteri; Perciformes; Percidae. The record is from RefSeq and is a predicted model, not a curated record. The transcript is spliced from 3 exons.
GAAGGGCGGGACUUCCGCUCCAAUAUGUGUCCAUUCAAUAGAAAUACAGGUGGAGAUGAGCCCUGUAAUGAUCUGUAACUGCUAUCUGCAAAGUGUUGUAACUGUAGGAAGUGGAUACUGUAUCUUUGUAUUAUUACCAGUGUGUCCACAGAAUGUGCUAGCAUUUCAUUGCAAAAAUAUGUAAUUUCAUAAUAAGCUUAUUUUCUUUUUUGAAAUGGUGUGACACAAUGUCACAGUUGCUCGAGGUAUUUUCACCUGGCGUUCUCACAGUAAAAUAGGUGUCAGCAUCUUGCAGGCUAUGAACAUGGAAACCUGUGCUGCAUGUCAUACCCCUCUCUCUCUCCGAAUCCUACAUUUGAGACUAAAUGACUUGUUAAAAUGUUUUGUACACAGUAGAGCAGAUGCUUUUGGCUGAAUAGGAUUCUGACAUCAGACAAUGGCUGGAUUCUGUCCAGACGUACAGCGACGUCUGUCCGUCUAGACCUGCAGUCUUGGCUCUGAAAUGAGUGUUCAGUAAAUGUUUGAGUGGUAAAUAAACACCUCGUGACUGAAGGAACAAUA